UGGGGAAUCUUGCGCAAUGGGCGAAAGCCUGACGCAGCGACGCCGCGUGGGUGAUGAAGGCCUUCGGGUUGUAAAGCCCUGUGGAGAGGGACGAAUAAGUUCGACCUAAUACGUCGGGCGAUGACGGUACCUCUUUAGCAAGCACCGGCUAACUACGUGCCAGCAGCCGCGGUAAUACGUAGGGUGCGAGCGUUAAUCGGAAUUACUGGGCGUAAAGCGUGCGCAGGCGGUUUUGUAAGACAGAUGUGAAAUCCCCGGGCUUAACCUGGGAACUGCGUUUGUGACUGCAAGGCUGGAGUACGGCAGAGGGGGGUGGAAUUCCACGUGUAGCAGUGAAAUGCGUAGAGAUGUGGAGGAACACCGAUGGCGAAGGCAGCCCCCUGGGCCUGUACUGACGCUCAUGCACGAAAGCGUGGGGAGCAAACA
This 426-nucleotide ribosomal RNA is filed under the name uncultured bacterium. RNAcentral describes it as "bacterial SSU rRNA". It matches the Rfam family "Bacterial small subunit ribosomal RNA", at positions 355 to 774 of the family's 1533-position model. The record is from RNAcentral.